RNA transcript from Ziziphus jujuba (common jujube), 1360 nucleotides. It is a transcript of the gene named CDP-diacylglycerol--inositol 3-phosphatidyltransferase 1, with no coding region annotated. The transcript has 12 exons. Lineage: Eukaryota; Viridiplantae; Streptophyta; Magnoliopsida; Rosales; Rhamnaceae. The record is from RefSeq and is a predicted model, not a curated record.
AUAAAAAAGAAAAAAGCAUAGAGAAUAACUCCGAGUCGAAGAAAACCGAGCAAACUACAAGAAGCUGAAGAAGAAGAAGAAGAAGAAGAAACAUAGAGAAGUCCACUGGGUCGUUCAUUGAAGGGCUCUGCUUCCAGCUUACAGGCUUCUCUGCUGCAAGGAGCACAACUGACUUGGUAAACCAAUGCAUUCCAUGCAGUUUUGAAUUUACAGAUUAAAACUUCAAUGGCCAGAAAAGCUGUACCAAGACCAGGAAAACUAGCUGUGUAUCUUUACAUUCCCAAUAUUAUUGGGUACAUUAGGGUUCUUAUGAACAUAAUUGCCUUUGCUCAAUGCUUCUCCAACAAAAAGCUUUUCUCCAUUCUUUACUUUGUCAGCUUUGUGUGUGAUGGCAUAGAUGGCUGGUGUGCUCGCAAAUUCAAUCAAGUUUCAACCUUUGGUGCUGUUUUGGACAUGAUAACAGACAGGAUUAGCACUGCUUGUCUAUUGGUAAUUCUUUCCCAAGUAUACCGGCCUGGCUUGAUUUUCCUCUCAUUGCUUGCCUUAGACAUUUCCAGCCACUGGCUGCAGAUGUACAGUACUUUCUUAGCAGGGAAGGUUAGUCAUAAAGAUGUAAAAGACAGCACCAGUUGGCUUUUUAAGUUAUACUAUGGGAAUAGGAUGUUUAUGGCCUACUGUUGUGUGGCAUGUGAGGUUCUUUAUAUUCUUCUAUUUCUUCUUGCAAAGAAUGAAACGGAGAACUUGAUGGAUGUUUUAACAAGGUCUGUGAAAGAGAGUACACCAUUGUGUGCUCUACUUGCGUCAAGUUUAUUUGGAUGGGCAGUUAAGCAAGCUGUUAAUGUCAUCCAGGUAUACAUUCCCUCUUCCUCUCCACUCUAGUUGGGAAAUAACAACAGUGCUGUUGAAGCUAUACUGUAUCUGGAUACGGAGACAUGAGUGCAUGCAUUACGUUAGGAACCUGUUAGUAUAAUAAAUGACUGAUUAUGAAAUUUUUGAGAUGCCUGUAGUCGCUACUCAACUUUUAAAUCAUGAAGUUGAAGACAGCAGCUGAUGCUUGUGUGCUUUACGACAUUGACAAAAAGCAGAAGCCCUAAUUUGCAUCAACUACAUAUACGACAAAUGGCAUCCUUUGAACAACUGGAGCCCACUUUUUUGUGUUCAAAUUUCUGUAUGUUUUAAUGUAGAUGGGUAUUAAUUUAGUGACAUAACAGAAAAAAGGACUAAAAACUUCAGUGACAUGAUCCAUUGGACGUUUCAUUUUACUUCUAUUUUGCAUUUCCCCUUCUGGGAUUAUUUAUACAGCGAAUUCAGAGCUCCUUGGUGAUAUUACGUAAUUGCAAUUUGAUUUUUUUGUUUGAUA